RNAcentral lists this non-coding RNA (31 nucleotides) under Rattus norvegicus (Norway rat). The record is from RNAcentral. Lineage: Eukaryota; Metazoa; Chordata; Mammalia; Rodentia; Muridae.
UACCAGAAGUUGCUGAGUUUUGCUGCUGCGC